This 302-nucleotide long non-coding RNA is filed under the name Homo sapiens (human). RNAcentral describes it as "HSALNT0039618". Lineage: Eukaryota; Metazoa; Chordata; Mammalia; Primates; Hominidae. The record is from RNAcentral.
AGAGCACCACGAGCUCCGGCUCUGCUGGCACCAGCGCGCACCCUGCGCCACGCUCCUCCAGCGGAUGUCACCUGUAGUUCCUGUGCGCCUGUCUCUCCCCAGCUCUGCUCCUGGGUCCCCUGAGGGUCACGGCCCCGCUGGGCCCUCAGUGGCGUCAUUGCACAGAGCAGCCCAGGCUUCUUCCUUCAGGCUGACUUAGCUGCUGAGAAACAAUAUGCCGGCUAGCUCCGGGUCCCACUUCGCCUUCUAGUACUGCGGUGACAUGAUGAAACAAAUGCUUACAAGACAGGGGGUGAAACCAU